GCGGUGCCUUAGAGCCACAAGUGAUUGAGCCAUGCCGCCUAGAAAAGCUUCUAAGCGUUGAUAUUUGAGUGACCGUACCGCAAACCGACACUGGUAGGUGGGUAGAAUAUACCAAGGGGAGCGAGAGAACCCUCGUUAAGGAAUUAGGCAAAUUUCCCCCGUACGUUCGCAAUAAGGGGGGCCUCUGGUGGUGAGCUUAAUCGCAAAGCUGCUGGAGGCCGCAGAGAAAUGGCUCUUCCAACUGUUUAACAAAAACACAGGUCUCUGCUAAGUCGAAAGACGAAGUAUAGGGGCUGACGCCUGCCCAGUGCUGGAAGGUUAAGGGGAGAGGUUAGGCGCAAGCCGAAGCUUUGAGCCGAAGCCCCAGUGAACGGCGGCCGUAACAAUAACGGUCCUAAGGUAGCGAAAUUCCUUGUCGGGUAAGUUCCGACCCGCACGAAUGGCGUAAUGAGAGGAGCGCUGUCUCAACGAGGGACUCGGCGAACAUUGAAGGACGUGUGAAGAUACACGUGACCCGCAGCGGGACAAAAAGACCCCGUGAAGCUUUACUACAACUUGCCAUUGAGUUAGGGCUAAACCUGUGUAGUAUAGGUGGGAGGCUUUGAAGCUGGGACGCCAGUCUCGGUGGAGCCACCGUUGAAAUACCACCCUGGUUUAUUCUUGGCUCUAACCUGUCGCCGUUAUCCGGCAUGGGAACAGUGGCUGGUGGGUAGUUUGACUGGGGCGGUCGCCUCCGAAAGCGUAACAGAGGCGCCCAAAGGUUCCCUCAGGCUGAAUGGAAACCAGCCGUUGAGUGUAAAGGCACAAGGGAGCUUGACUGCAAGACCAACAAGUCGCGCAGGGACGAAAGUCGGGCUUAGUGAUCCCACGGUUCAGAGUGGAAUGGCCGUGGCUUACCGGAUAAAAGCUACUCCGGGGAUAACAGGGUAGUCUGGUCCAAGAGUUCAUAUCGACGACCAGGUUCGCCACCUCGAUGUCGGCUCAUCACAUCCUGGGGCUGGCUAAGGUCCCAAGGGUUGGGCUGUUCGCCCAUUAAAGUGGUACGUGAGCUGGGUUCAGACCGUCGUGAGACAGGUCGGUCUCUAUCCGCUGUGGGCGUAAGGGAUUUGAGAGAAGCUGCCCCUAGUACGAGAGGACCGGGGUGGACGGACCUCUAGUGUGCCAGUUGUUCUGCCAAGAGCAUUGCUGGGUAGCUACGUCCGGCAGAGAUAACCGCUGAAAGCAUCUAAGUGGGAAACUCGUCUCAAGAUUAGAUCCCUCAUCCGUAUGGAGUAAGACCGCUAGAAGACUACUAGUUUGAUAGGCGGCAGGUGUAAGCGCAGUAAUGUGUUCAGCUUAGCCGUACUAAUGGUCGAGGGCUUACGUUU
This 1367-nucleotide ribosomal RNA is filed under the name metagenome. RNAcentral's name for it is "bacterial LSU rRNA". It matches the Rfam family "Bacterial large subunit ribosomal RNA", at positions 1570 to 2925 of the family's 2925-position model. The record is from RNAcentral.